GGCGAACGGGUGAGUAACACGUGGGUAAUCUGCCCUGCACUCUGGGAUAAGCCUGGGAAACUGGGUCUAAUACUGGAUAUGACCUUUCUCCUUAUGGGGUUUGGUGGAAAGUUUUUCGGUGUAGGAUGAGCCCGCGGCCUAUCAGCUUGUUGGUGGGGUGAUGGCCUACCAAGGCGACGACGGGUAGCCGGCCUGAGAGGGCGAUCGGCCACAUUGGGACUGAGAUACGGCCCAG
RNAcentral lists this ribosomal RNA (235 nucleotides) under uncultured Actinomycetales bacterium. Its description in RNAcentral is "partial 16S ribosomal RNA". It matches the Rfam family "Bacterial small subunit ribosomal RNA", at positions 97 to 334 of the family's 1533-position model. The record is from RNAcentral. Lineage: Bacteria; Bacillati; Actinomycetota; Actinomycetes; Actinomycetales.